GGAUUGUGACUCAGUGGUAGAGCACUUGCCUAGCAUGUGUGAGGCACUGGGUUCAAUCCUCAGCACCA
This 68-nucleotide transfer RNA is filed under the name Marmota monax (woodchuck). RNAcentral's name for it is "tRNA.Ala". The record is from RNAcentral. Lineage: Eukaryota; Metazoa; Chordata; Mammalia; Rodentia; Sciuridae.